RNA transcript from Varanus komodoensis (Komodo dragon), 3625 nucleotides. It is a transcript of the gene named disks large homolog 1-like, with no coding region annotated. Lineage: Eukaryota; Metazoa; Chordata; Lepidosauria; Squamata; Varanidae. The transcript has 3 exons. The record is from RefSeq and is a predicted model, not a curated record.
UGAUGAUUGGAAUACCUUUUGAACAGGCAGAAAGGAUGAGCUGUGCAGGAAAAGUUACUCAAGGAAGGCCUUUACAAAACCGGUCAUUCCAUUGGUAGUUUUCCCCUCUAUUUGGGUUAGGGGUGUUCACCAGGUUAGGGUUUGGGUUAAGAAGACGAGGUGUCCUGGCAUGAUUUGGACGGUUGGAAUACCUUUUGAACGGGCAGAAAUGAUGAGCUGUGCAGGAAAAGUUACUGAAGGAAGGCCUGUACAUAAUCGGCCAUUCCAUUGGUAUUUUCCCCCUCUUUUAGGGUUAGGGGUGUUCGCCUGGGUAGGUGUAGGGUCAAUAAAACGAGGUUCCUGGUAUGAAUUUGACGAUUGAAAUGUGUUUACAAUGGGCAGAAAUGAAGAGCUGUGCAGAAAAAUCUACUCAAGCAGGGCUUUUUCAAAGAUGCCCCUUUUAAUGGAACUUUACUCCUCUAUUUUGAUUAGCGGUUUUCACCAGGCUAGGGUUAGGGUUAGGAAAACGAGGUGUCCUUGCAUGAUUUUGAUGGUUAGUAUACCUUUUCAACGGGGAGAAAUGAUCAGCUGUGCAGGAAAGGUUACUCAAGGAAGGCCUUUACAGAACCGGCCAUUCCAUUGGUAUUUUUCCCCUCUAUUCGGGUUAGGGGUGUUCACCAGGUUAGGGUUCGGGUUAAGAAAACGAGGUGUCCUGUAAUUACUUUGAUGAUUGGAAUGUAUUUAGAAUGGGCAGAAAUGAAGGGAAGUGCGGGAAAGAUUAGUCAAGGAAGGCCUUUACAAAAUCGACCAUUGCAUUGGUAUUUUACCCUUCUAUUAGGUUUAGGUGUGUUCACCAGGUUAGGGUUAGGAAAAUGAGGUGUCCUGGCGUGAUUUUGAUGGUUGGAAUGGAUUUAGAAUGGGCAGAAAUGAUGAGCUGUGCAGAAACAUCUACUCAAGGAGGGCUUUUUCAAAGUCGCCCCUUUUAAUGGAACUUUACUCCUCUAUUUUGAUUAGUGCUUUUCUCCAGGCUAGGGUUAGGGUUAGGAAAAUGAGGUGUCCUGGCAUGAUUUUGAUGGUUGGAAUGUCUUUAGAAUGGGCAGAAAUGAUGAGCUGUGCAGGAAAAGUUAGUCAAGGAAGGCCUUUACAAAAUCGGCCGUUACAUUGGUAUUUUUCCUCUCUUACUGGGUUUGUGGUGUGCACCAGGUUAGGGUUAGGAAAACGACGUGUCUGGGGAUCAUUUUGAUGCUUGGAAUGUGUUUAGAUUCGGCAGAAAUGAUGAGGUGUGCAGAAAGGGUUAUUCUAGGAGGGCUUUUUCAUAAUCACCCCUUUUAAUGGAACUUUACUCCUCUGUUAGGGUUUGGGGUGUUCACUAUGGUAGGAUUAGGGUUUGGAAAUCAAGGUAUCCCAGGCUUGGGAAAUCGAGGUAUCCUCCCCUUUCCUCCCGCCUAGGCCUCAGUGGCUCAUCGCAGAUCGGUGCGCUCAUCCACAAUUGCAUUGCGCAUGAGCGAGGUGCUGGUGCAGACCGACCUUGCACUGAGCAUCAGCACUAGCAGGCCGGAGGUCUGGCUGAUGCGGCUGCGUGGUAUCCUCUGCUGGACAGAGAAGUGGAGGAGGGGACAGCUGCUGGGCAUCUCUGCCCUCUUCUCCUGUGCCGGCAUGCUCUGACCCCAUCACCGUCACACCCCCUCCCCAGUUCUCCUGCAAGGGCUGCUCCCCACACUUUCCCCCGUCCCCCAGAUUCAUGCCACAAACCAGUCCAACCCCCUGAAAUGAAGGCGCCCCUCCUGCCACCCAGUGCCAGCCUCAGCGCUGGCUGGGAGAAAAAGUUAGCACACUGCAUUCACGUAACCUGCACUUAUCUGCCACAUCCAGUCAGCACUGCGACCCCCAAGCAAGGACUGCACAUUUCAAGUGGCGGCCACCUCGGCCCCUCCUGUUCCACGGCCUUGGCGGGGGCAGAGACAGAGGCGCCCUCAGCCAAGCAGCCCGGAGCAGCUUGGCACUGCAGGGAUGUGGCCAGUGGGAUGAGGCCCACGGGCUGGUACCUGCUUCCGGAGCAGAGGGGGGAUGCCCUGCCCAGGCCGGGGGCCCGUGCGCAGCGUGCAGUGGGCCGCCUGGAAGCGGCCUUCCUCGCCCAUCUGCAGUGUCCUCUUCGCUGGCCUUGCCUUAGCAAGCAGGCCAGGGCAAGCGGAGUCUGCAAAUGCCCACAGAACAACAGCUGCACAGCCGGGAAGGAUGGUGCUCCUUACACGGCAUUUGCACGCACAUGGAUUCCCAGUGAGCAUUGCACACAUGCUCAGCACGCUCAGCCGAGGAAGCAGGCUAGAGUCCCAUGAGUGCAGCCCCAGAAAGGUCCCGGACGGAUUCCUUGCCCAUCCCUACCCAUCCGCUUCCACCUGCGAGUCUGAGGGCUGGAGCAAGGAGGAGCAUCUGCGUGUGCCACAGGCUGACCACAGUUGUCGCCCGCCACUUUUGGUAUUUCAGGGAAAUGAACAAGCGGUUAACAGAUGAGCAAGCUCGGAAGACAUUUGAGAGAGCCAUGAAGCUGGAACAAGAAUUCACCGAGCAUUUUACAGCCAUCGUGCAAGGCGACACGCUGGAAGAGGUUUACAAUCAGGUCAAGCAAGUGAUCGAGGAGCGCUCCAGCCCCUGCAUCUGGGUCCCAGCCAAGGAAAAGCUGUGAAGGCGGCCCGGCUCGCCUGCGCUGGGCAUUGGAUGGACUCUGUCCCCCGUUGGGCUUCCCUCCUCUUGGCAGCUCCUCCUGGAAGUGCAGCGCUGGGCCGCACCGCCGGGUGGCGCCUCGCACUCGAAGCCCCUGCUGCACUUCCGCCGCCUUGAUCUCGCCAAGUGCUCCGACCAGCAGGUUCCUUGGGCACUGGGGACUGGGGGCAGUGGCUAGUUCUGCCCGAGGGGGCACAACGUGGGAAUUUUGUGGUAACCUCCUUAAUGUUUAAGGGAAAGCAUCGUUCGGAGAUUUUGAGAAAACAGAGCUUUAUAUAUGUCAAUGUAAAGGUUUCCUAACAUGAAAAAAAAGUGGUCUUAAUGACGUCAAUGUGAGCAAUUUUGCACGCUUAACUUUACUAGCAUGGUUUGAUUCAAGGGGAUUCGGUUCAUGAUUUAGUUUCAUAGUUUUCUGUUGUUGCCAGCAAAUAUAUUUUACAUGCAGUUCGAUAAGAAACUUUUUCAAAUGUCCAAGAUAAUAUAUGCUUAACUGGCAUUGUUUCACAAGGGAAAACUCAUUUUCAUAAUUUCAUAUAAAUACCCUUUGUAGCCUAUUUUUUCAUUUUUUGCUGAUGCCAUUAUACUAGAGAGGAAAAUAUCUCCUAUUUUUAAACUGGCACAUAAAAGACUAUUUGGAAUGUCUUACAGAUAUUGUUGAUAGAGAACAGUUACUGCAUUUUGACUCCAAAUACCAUUUGGGUGCUUUAAAAGUUUGUACUUCAUCUACCAAUGAUGGCUUUUGUUCUGAAAAUAUUCUGAAAGAUUGUUAUCACUAUUAAGGUCGUAAAAGUCUGAAAGUAUAAAUAUGUUCUUAGAAGUCAGAUUUUAAUGAAUAUUUUACCCACAAUAACUGCCUAUUUUGUUAUAAUAAAGCAUAUUAUAUACAUAUAUAUAUAUAUAUAUAUUAAACUUUCUUUAACUAAAA